This 226-nucleotide unclassified non-coding RNA is filed under the name Hevea brasiliensis (rubber tree). The record is from RNAcentral. Lineage: Eukaryota; Viridiplantae; Streptophyta; Magnoliopsida; Malpighiales; Euphorbiaceae.
AAUGGAAACAUAAAAUAUGAUAUAAGAAAUAGGAAACUUUUAAAAUUUAAUAAAAAUUAUAUAUUGUAUCAAUAGCAAACAUUAACUCACCUCAACUAAGCCUGGAUUCGGCAAUAGCAAACAUUAAUAUUAUAAAAAUACAUUAAUAUCUGAUCGGGCUAAAAAAAAAAUACAAUACAAUACAUAAUAUAAUUCUAUUUAAAUGAAGGAAAUAAGAAUAUUUGUU